GAUGAACGCUGGCGGCGUGCUUAACACAUGCAAGUCGAACGGAAAGGCCCUGAUUUUGUGGGGUGCUCGAGUGGCGAACGGGUGAGUAACACGUGAGUAACCUGCCCUUGUCUUUGGGAUAUCUUCAGGAAACUGGGGCUAAUACCGGAUAGGAGCUCCUGCUGCGUGGUGGGGGUUGGAAAGUUUCGGCGGUGGGGGAUGGACUCGAGGGUUAUCAGCUUGUUGGUGGGGUAGUGGCUUACAAAGGUUUUGACGGGUAGCCGGCCUGAGAGGUGGACCGGCCACAUUGGGACUGAGAUACGGCCCAGACUCCUACGGGAGGCAGCAGUGGGGAAUAUUGCACAAUGGGCGGAAGCCUGAUGCAGCAACGCUGCGUGCGGGAUGACGGCCUUCGGGUUGUAAACCGCUUUCGCCUGUGACGAAGCGUGAGUGACGGUAAUGGGUAAAGAAGCACCGGCUAACUACGUG
This 468-nucleotide ribosomal RNA is filed under the name uncultured bacterium. Its description in RNAcentral is "partial 16S ribosomal RNA". It matches the Rfam family "Bacterial small subunit ribosomal RNA", at positions 28 to 507 of the family's 1533-position model. The record is from RNAcentral.